GGCUCAGGAUGAACGCUAGCUACAGGCUUAACACAUGCAAGUCGAGGGGAAACGAUAUUGGAAGCUUGCUUCUGAUAGGCGUCGACCGGCGCACGGGUGAGUAACGCGUAUCCAACCUGCCCAUCACUUGGGGAUAACCUUGCGAAAGUAAGACUAAUACCCAAUGACGUCUCUAGAAGACAUCUGAAAGAGAUUAAAGAUUUAUCGGUGAUGGAUGGGGAUGCGUCUGAUUAGCUUGUUGGCGGGGUAACGGCCCACCAAGGCGACGAUCAGUAGGGGUUCUGAGAGGAAGGCCCCCCACAUUGGAACUGAGACACGGUCCAAACUCCUACGGGAGGCAGCAGUGAGGAAUAUUGGUCAAUGGACGAGAGUCUGAACCAGCCAAGUAGCGUGCAGGAUGACGGCCCUAUGGGUUGUAAACUGCUUUUAUAAGGGAAUAAAGUGAGUCUCGUGAGACUUUUUGCAUGUACCUUAUGAAUAAGGACCGGCUAAUUCCGUG
This 499-nucleotide ribosomal RNA is filed under the name uncultured bacterium. RNAcentral describes it as "bacterial SSU rRNA". It matches the Rfam family "Bacterial small subunit ribosomal RNA", at positions 21 to 507 of the family's 1533-position model. The record is from RNAcentral.